Molecule: ribosomal RNA, 492 nt
Filed under: uncultured bacterium
Lineage: Bacteria
Description: partial 16S ribosomal RNA
Rfam family: Bacterial small subunit ribosomal RNA
Source: RNAcentral
AGUGAACGCUGGCGGUAGGCCUAACACAUGCAAGUCGAACGGCAGCACAGUAAGAGCUUGCUCUUACGGGUGGCGAGUGGCGGACGGGUGAGGAAUACAUCGGAAUCUACUUUUUCGUGGGGGAUAACGUAGGGAAACUUACGCUAAUACCGCAUACGACCUACGGGUGAAAGCAGGGGAUCUUCGGACCUUGCGCGAUUGAAUGAGCCGAUGUCGGAUUAGCUAGUUGGCGGGGUAAAGGCCCACCAAGGCGACGAUCCGAAGCUGGUCUGAGAGGAUGAUCAGCCACCAUGGAACUGAGACACGGUCCAGACUCCUACGGGAGGCAGCAGUGGGGAAUAUUGGACAAUGGGCGCAAGCCUGAUCCAGCCAUACCGCGUGGGUGAAGAAGGCCUUCGGGUUGUAAAGCCCUUUUGUUGGGAAAGAAAAGCAGCAGGUUAAUACCCCGCUGUUCUGACGGUACCCAAAGAAUAAGCACCGGCUAACUUCGUG